AGACGGGUGAGUAAUGCGGAGGAAUCUACCUAGGAGUACGGAAUAGCCAUUAGAAAUGGUGGGUAAUACUGUAUAAUCCCCGAGGGGGAAAGAUUUAUCGCUAUUAGAUGAGCCUACGUUAGAUUAGCUAGUUGGUGAGGUAAUGGCUUACCAAGGCUAUGAUCUAUAGCUGGUCUGAGAGGACGAUCAGCCACACUGGAACUGAGAUACGGUCCAGACUCCUACGGGAGGCAGCAGUGGGGAAUAUUGGACAAUGGGCGAAAGCCUGAUCCAGCUAUGCCGCGUGAGUGAAGAAGGCCU
This 300-nucleotide ribosomal RNA is filed under the name Ehrlichia canis. RNAcentral describes it as "bacterial SSU rRNA". It matches the Rfam family "Bacterial small subunit ribosomal RNA", at positions 100 to 417 of the family's 1533-position model. Lineage: Bacteria; Pseudomonadati; Pseudomonadota; Alphaproteobacteria; Rickettsiales; Anaplasmataceae. The record is from RNAcentral.